This 72-nucleotide transfer RNA is filed under the name Pseudomonadota bacterium. RNAcentral's name for it is "tRNA-Thr". It matches the Rfam family "tRNA". Rfam says of the family: Transfer RNA (tRNA) molecules are approximately 80 nucleotides in length. Their secondary structure includes four short double-helical elements and three loops (D, anti-codon, and T loops). The record is from RNAcentral. Lineage: Bacteria; Pseudomonadati; Pseudomonadota. RNAcentral also lists the same sequence under 1 other name.
GCCAAUGUAGCUUAGAGGUAGAGCAGCUGUCUCGUAAACAGCAGGUCAGGAGUUCAAAUCUCCUCAUUGGCA